UACGUAGGGACCAAGCGUUGUUCGGAUUUACUGGGCGUAAAGCGUGUGUAGGCGGCUUCGCAAGUUGGAUGUGAAAUCCCACGGCUCAACCGUGGACGUGCAUCCAAAACUGCGUCGCUAGAGUCUCGGAGAGGAAGGUGGAAUGCUUGGUGUAGAGGUGAAAUUCGUAGAUAUCAAGCAGAACACCUGCGGCGAAGGCGGCCUUCUGGACGAUGACUGACGCUGAGACACGAAAGCGUGGGGAGCAAACAGG
Molecule: ribosomal RNA, 253 nt
Filed under: uncultured bacterium
Lineage: Bacteria
Description: partial 16S ribosomal RNA
Rfam family: Bacterial small subunit ribosomal RNA
Source: RNAcentral